This is a long non-coding RNA of Oxyura jamaicensis (ruddy duck), 286 nucleotides long. RefSeq lists it as uncharacterized. The transcript has 3 exons. NCBI's taxonomy places the organism in Eukaryota, Metazoa, Chordata, Aves, Anseriformes, Anatidae. The record is from RefSeq and is a predicted model, not a curated record.
UUAUGAAAACAAACUAAAUAGCCUCCUAUCAACCCAAAACAGUGACACAUUAAGAUUUCUACUCCCCUACCUCCCUCCUUACUUCAUCUUACAAACAAGGACUUGAUUCAACAUGUAUUAAGUUGAGAAACUUGAUACAAAAUUUUGGUCAGAGUUUAACUUUUAAAAACAGAAAUCCAAGGCAAAAUUGUAUUUGGUUUUGAUUUCUUGUAUUUGGGUACACAAGAGGAAAGAGAACCCAGUAACAAGUUUCUAUAUGUUCAGCCAAAAUAUUUGCUGUGGAAAA